RNAcentral lists this long non-coding RNA (1024 nucleotides) under Zonotrichia albicollis (white-throated sparrow). RNAcentral's name for it is "lncRNA (ENSZALG00000004891.1)". The record is from RNAcentral. Lineage: Eukaryota; Metazoa; Chordata; Aves; Passeriformes; Passerellidae.
NGGGGGCUCUGCAUGCAGUGGGGACACGGGGACGUGUUCCCAGGGUGUUUGCUUGGCUCUGGGGCACAUCCUGGCAGGCACAGUGCUGUGGUGAGCAUUCAGCUUCCCACGAGGACCUGGCAUCGUGCUCAUUUGUCAGCACCCCUUGCACCCACACCCCAAUAUUCACCUUGUGCUGCAGACACUGGCUCAAAAGCUGCCUUGUUAUUAUUUUCCUUAAAAAUAACACAAAAGGGAAAUAACUGGGCUGUGCUUAGCUCCCCACUGGGAGUUUUUAGGGUGAUGUACAGUGGGCUGAGCAGUGGGAGGGAUCCAGCGCACUUCUGGUGGGAUUUGGUGCUGGAUUCGGAGUUCACCAGGGUGUCACAGGGCUGGGGGGCCCAGCCCAUCCCCGUGUGCUGCCUGCCCGGUGCUCAGCGCUGGCACAGCCGAGCGCCUUCAUGGCGUGGGUGGGAAGGGGCGAGCGCCAGUCCGGUGGGGUUUUUUUCCCUUCUCCAUCUUUCUUUCUUUUUUUUUUUUUUUUCCUCCUUUUUUCUUUCUUUUUUUUUCCCUCCCUCUCUGUGGGUUGAGCGUUGGGGCGACAGACAGGGAAAGUCUGAGCAAUGGUCUCCGUGCUGGUGCUGUCUUCAAUCACCGCGUCCCAGAAUCCCUCGCUCUGGGCCUUCUAGGCACAAGGGCUUACAGCGAAAAUCGGCAGCUGCAGCUGCGAGUGAAAGCACAAGAGCCCGGCUGGGUCUUUGGCAUCGGCAGGAGAGCAAAAAAAAGCUGGGGGAGGCGAGGAGGGAAGGGAAAAGGCGGGGGGAAAUGUGCCCUGUGGUUUUUUUCCAGGCUUGCCACCGAGGGUUGUGUUUCAGAGCAUCGGUUCCCGGGCGCGGGAAGAGGCGGGAGGACGGGGGGUGCGGAGCGAUGCCUCCGGGGAGCUCAUUAAAAUCUGUCGGCUCCCCCCUUUCGCCGGCCGAGAGAGGCUGCAUGCGGAGGGAAGGAGGGAGGGACGUGCUGGAAGGAACACGCCGGCAGAGCGGCU